This 116-nucleotide ribosomal RNA is filed under the name Scophthalmus maximus (turbot). The record is from RNAcentral. Lineage: Eukaryota; Metazoa; Chordata; Actinopteri; Pleuronectiformes; Scophthalmidae.
GCUUACGGCCACCGCCUGGUUCACGCCCGAUCUCGUUUGAUCUCGGAAGCUAAGAUAGGGUGGGCCUGGUUAGUACUUGGAUGGGAGACCCCUGGGCAUACCAGGUGUUGUAAGAU